UUUUGUAUUCAUGAAGAGAACUUCUAUUAUUCCAUUCUUUAUUAUUCUGCUGGAAUAACCAGUAUACGCGGACUACCCUAUACUUGGUGACAUUCUUCUAUUAUUUCGUCUUUAUUAUUAUUCUGUUGGAAUAUCCUGUCUGUGCGUUUUACGCCGAACCUGGUUCCGUCUUUAUUAUUAUUCUGUUGGAAUAUCCUGUCUGUGCAUUUUAAGCCGGAC
Molecule: long non-coding RNA, 219 nt
Filed under: Panax ginseng (ginseng)
Lineage: Eukaryota; Viridiplantae; Streptophyta; Magnoliopsida; Apiales; Araliaceae
Description: long non-coding RNA (PGIN_LNC001335)
Source: RNAcentral